Oncorhynchus keta (chum salmon) is the source of this 710-nucleotide long non-coding RNA. RefSeq lists it as uncharacterized. The transcript is spliced from 3 exons. NCBI's taxonomy places the organism in Eukaryota, Metazoa, Chordata, Actinopteri, Salmoniformes, Salmonidae. The record is from RefSeq and is a predicted model, not a curated record.
UCAAUACAUUUUUUUAAGUUCUGUGUUUUUUAGAUCUGUAUUGGAGGUCAUUGGUUUCUGUCAGCUAUUUCUGCCAGACUGGUUCCAAAUGGAACCCUAUUCCCUAUAUAGUGCACUAGUUUUGAACAGAGCCCUAUGGGGACCCUGGUAUAAAAAAAUUAGUGCACUAUAUAGGGAGUAGAGUUCCAUUUGGGACUCACACAGCAUCUACAGAUUAAACUGUGAAGUCUAGAAACAGUGUGACCUAUUUCUGCCAUCGUAGUUAAUGUUAUGACACUGAAACAAACAGAAACAGGGUACCUCUGUCUGGGUGCCAUGAGGGAGGUAACCAGGGAUACUAGUCUGGUGUUCUCAUUGGCAUCUCUCUGUCUGGGUGCCAUUAGGGAGGUAACCAGGGAUACUAGUCUGGUGUUCUCAUUGGCUUCUCUCUGUCUGGGUGCCAUGAGGGGGUAACCAGGGAUACUAGUCUGGUGUUCUCAUUGGCAUCUCUCUGUCUGGGUGCCAUUAGGGGGGUAACCAGGGAUACUAGUCUGGUGUUCUCAUUGGCAUCUCUCUGUCUGGGUGCCAUUAGGGAGGUAACCAGGGAUACUAGUCUGGUGUUCUCAUAGACAUUUGUCUCUCUGUCUGUGUGUUCUAGUCUAAUAAAGUCUACAAUCUCUACAAGGUUACAGAGUGAAAUUCAACCGUUCAACAUCACUAUACCUUUAAAC